RNAcentral lists this ribosomal RNA (389 nucleotides) under Atrina pectinata. Its description in RNAcentral is "partial 16S ribosomal RNA". It matches the Rfam family "Bacterial large subunit ribosomal RNA", at positions 1911 to 2528 of the family's 2925-position model. Lineage: Eukaryota; Metazoa; Mollusca; Bivalvia; Pterioida; Pinnidae. The record is from RNAcentral.
UGCCCUUUUGUGGUAAACAGCCGCUGUAUUUUGACGGUGCUAAGGUAUCGAAAUUCCUAGCCUUUUAAUUGGAGGCCUGCAUGAAUGGCUUGACGAGCGCCUGACUGUCUCUCUCCCGCAUGUAGUGAAAUUAACUUUUGUGUGCAAAGGCACAAAUAAUUGAGUAAGACGAAAAGACCCUGUGCAACUUUACUAAGAAAAGAGGGGUUACCUACUUGUAGUUUAGCUGGGGCAGCUUAGGAAAAGAUAAAACUUCCUUGAAUUUAAGAUACUGGUAGGUUUGGAUCCGACGUAAUUAUUGUGUAGGUCGAGUAGCAGAAAAGUUACGCCAGGGAUAACAGCGUUAUCCUUCUGUGGAGGUCUUAUCUGCAGGGGGGAUUGCGACCUCG